UCGAGAAUCAUUCGCAAUGGGCGAAAGCCUGACGAUGCGACGCCGUGUGAGCGAUGAAGGCCUUAGGGUCGUAAAGCUCUUUCGCUUGGGAACAAGAGAAGCUGGCUAAUAUCCAGCGGAUUUGAGGGUACCAGGUAAAGAAGCACCGGCUAACUCCGUGCCAGCAGCUGCGGUAAUACGGAGGGUGCAAGCAUUAAUCGGAUUUAUUGGGCGUAAAGGGCGCGUAGGCGGAAAGAUAAGUCAGAUGUGAAAUCCCGGGGCUCAACCUCGGAACAGCAUUUGAAACUAUCUUUCUAGAGGGUAGGCGGAGAAAACGGAAUUCCACAAGUAGCGGUGAAAUGCGUAGAUAUGUGGAAGAACACCGGUGGCGAAGGCGGUUUUCUAGCUUACUCCUGACGCUGAGGCGCGAAAGCAAGGGGAUCAAACAGGAUUAGAUACCCCCGUAGUCC
This 449-nucleotide ribosomal RNA is filed under the name uncultured bacterium. Its description in RNAcentral is "bacterial SSU rRNA". It matches the Rfam family "Bacterial small subunit ribosomal RNA", at positions 355 to 796 of the family's 1533-position model. The record is from RNAcentral.